Molecule: ribosomal RNA, 253 nt
Filed under: uncultured bacterium
Lineage: Bacteria
Description: partial 16S ribosomal RNA
Rfam family: Bacterial small subunit ribosomal RNA
Source: RNAcentral
UACAGAGGGUGCAAGCGUUGUUCGGAAUUAUUGGGCGUAAAGGGCGCGUAGGCGGUGCGGUAAGUCACCUGUGAAAUCUCCUGGCUCAACUGGGAGCUUGCAGGCGAAACUGCCGUGCUGGAGUGUGGGAGAGGUGCGUGGAAUUCCUGGUGUAGCGGUGAAAUGCGCAGAUAUCAGGAGGAACACCGGUGGCGAAGGCGGGUCUCUGGGCCGUAACUGACGCUGAGGAGCGAAAGCAUGGGGAGCGAACAGG